UUGGAGGGCAAGUCUGGUGCCAGCAGCCGCGGUAAUUCCAGCUCCAAUAGCGUAUAUUAAAGUUGUUGCAGUUAAAAAGCUCGUAGUUGAAUUUCGGGGUUAGUAGGUUGGUCAUGCCUCUGGUAUGUACUGGUCUCACUGAUUCCUCCUUCCUGAUGAGCCGUAAUGCCAUUAAUUUGGUGUUGCGGGGAAUUUGGACUGUUACUUUGAAAAAAUUAGAGUGUUUAAAGCAAGCUAACGCUUGAAUACAUUAGCAUGGAAUAAUGAAAUAGGACGUUCGAUCCUAUUUUGUUGGUUUCUAGGAUUGACGUAAUGAUUAAUAGGGAUAGUUGGGGGCAUUAGUAUUCAAUUGUCAGAGGUGAAAUUCUUGGAUUUAUUGAAGACUAACUACUGCGAAAGCAUUUGCCAAGGAUGUUUUCAUUAAUCAAGAACGAAAGUUGGGGGAUCGAAGACGAUCAGAUACCGUCGUAGUCUUAACCAUAAACUAUGCCGACUAGGGAUCGGAUGAUGUUAAUUUUUUAAUGACUCAUUCGGCGCCUUACGGGAAAC
RNAcentral lists this ribosomal RNA (549 nucleotides) under uncultured Glomeromycotina. RNAcentral describes it as "SSU rRNA". It matches the Rfam family "Eukaryotic small subunit ribosomal RNA", at positions 548 to 1098 of the family's 1831-position model. The record is from RNAcentral. Lineage: Eukaryota; Fungi; Glomeromycota.